Molecule: ribosomal RNA, 100 nt
Filed under: Periophthalmus magnuspinnatus
Lineage: Eukaryota; Metazoa; Chordata; Actinopteri; Gobiiformes; Gobiidae
Source: RNAcentral
UGAAAUGGCCAUACCAGUCUCGUCAAAUCUUUGAAGCUGAGCUGGUUUGGGCCUGGUUAGUGCUUGGGUAGGAGACCACUGAGAAUAUCAGGUGCCACAC